UCCUACGGGAGGCAGCAGUCAGGAAUAUUGCGCAAUGGGCGAAAGCCUGACGCAGCGACGCCGCGUGGGUGAUGAAGGCCUUCGGGUCGUAAAGCCCUGUCGGGGGGACGAAACUUCCCGGUGCUAAUAUCACCGGGACCUGACGGUACCCCCUAAGGAAGCACCGGCUAACUCCGUGCCAGCAGCCGCGGUA
RNAcentral lists this ribosomal RNA (193 nucleotides) under uncultured Desulfuromonas sp. RNAcentral describes it as "partial 16S ribosomal RNA". It matches the Rfam family "Bacterial small subunit ribosomal RNA", at positions 337 to 522 of the family's 1533-position model. Lineage: Bacteria; Pseudomonadati; Thermodesulfobacteriota; Desulfuromonadia; Desulfuromonadales; Desulfuromonadaceae. The record is from RNAcentral.